This 715-nucleotide long non-coding RNA is filed under the name Oryctolagus cuniculus (rabbit). Its description in RNAcentral is "lncRNA (ENSOCUG00000035925.1)". Lineage: Eukaryota; Metazoa; Chordata; Mammalia; Lagomorpha; Leporidae. The record is from RNAcentral.
AUAAUAUGCCUGCCAUACAGGGUUCCUAGGAUUAAAGGAGGAUUCUCUGUAUAUUAUGUAGCUCCAGAAAAAAAGAGGCAUAUUAUUGACUCCUACAAUUGAAUCAAAGUAGACUACACAAGGCAGAGCCUAAACUAAGCAGGGGUUUCAGAGGUGCCGCUGACAACCUGUGUGUCCAGCACGUGAGCCAGUUGAGAAAUCCAGAAGCUCUGGGUCGCAAGCUGGAAAUGCUGGGCCAGAGGUCAUUACGGUGCUGACAGUUCCUCUCCCCUCUUCCUCGUUCCUCUCCUUCAGCCUUGCUGAUCGCAGCUCGAGGAGUCAGGGGAGCCAAAGCUGAACCUUAGUGGAUCCUCAGAUUCCCAUAUAUCUAUCUCUGAACUUCAGCCUCCCUUCCUGUUUUCAACACUGACUUGUUGACUUCUUAUCUACCCACGGUUGGGAUCCACAGCCCACUGCUUAGAACUGACACAGUUCUGGAGUAGGGGCCAGGAGGAUGGAGGAGGCAGGCUGUGGUGCACAGGUGUACUUGGACCUGGGCGUGGAAGGAGGGCCACGGAAGAUCUUACAAAAAUCUCUUUUGACAACCGCUCAUUGUCCCACUCCUUCCAAGCCCCAGUAAGUACCAACUCCCCUUUGCUGAGAGGGUUCAGCUAAGAUUAAGGGUUUCUCCAACAGGAACAGAGCUUGGUGAACUAAGUCAUUAGUCCUAAAAUAU